UUAAGCGACUAAGCGUACACGGUGGAUGCCCUGGCAGUCAGAGGCGAUGAAGGACGUGCUAAUCUGCGAAAAGCGUCGGUAAGGUGAUAUGAACCGUUAUANNNNNNNNNNNNNNNNNNNNNNNNNNNNNNNNNNNUGUGAACUCGAAGAGUAGGGCGGGACACGUGGUAUCCUGUCUGAAUAUGGGGGGACCAUCCUCCAAGGCUAAAUACUCCUGACUGACCGAUAGUGAACCAGUACCGUGAGGGAAAGGCGAAAAGAACCCCGGCGAGGGGAGUGAAAAAGAACCUGAAACCGUGUACGUACAAGCAGUGGGAGCACCUUCGGGUGUGACUGCGUACCUUUUGUAUAAUGGGUCAGCGACUUAUAUUCUGUAGCAAGGUUAACCGUAUAGGGGAGCCGCAGGGAAACCGAGUCUUAACUGGGCGUUAAGUUGCAGGGUAUAGACCCGAAACCCGGUGAUCUAGCCAUGGGCAGGUUGAAGGUUGGGUAACACUAACUGGAGGACCGAACCGACUAAUGUUGAAAAAUUAGCGGAUGACUUGUGGCUGGGGGUGAAAGGCCAAUCAAACCGGGAGAUAGCUGGUUCUCCCCGAAAGCUAUUUAGGUAGCGCCUCGUGAACUCAUCUUCGGGGGUAGAGCACUGUUUCGGCUAGGGGGUCAUCCCGACUUACCAACCCGAUGCAAACUACGAAUACCGAAGAAUGUUAUCACGGGAGACACACGGCGGGUGCUAACGUCCGUCGUGAAGAGGGAAACAACCCAGACCGCCAGCUAAGGUCCCAAAGUCAUGGUUAAGUGGGAAACGAUGUGGGAAGGCACAGACAGCCAGGAUGUUGGCUUAGAAGCAGCCAUCAUUUAAAGAAAGCGUAAUAGCUCACUGGUCGAGUCGGCCUGCGCGGAAGAUGUAACGGGGCUAAACCAUGCACCGAAGCUGCGGCAGCGACACUAUGUGUUGUUGGGUAGGGGAGCGUUCUGUAAGCCUGCGAAGGUGNUGCUGGAGGUAUCAGAAGUGCGAAUGCUGACAUAAGUAACGAUAAAGCGGGUGAAAAGCCCGCUCGCCGGAAGACCAAGGGUUCCUGUCCAACGUUAAUCGGGGCAGGGUGAGUCGACCCCUAAGGCGAGGCCGAAAGGCGUAGUCGAUGGGAAACAGGUUAAUAUUCCUGUACUUGGUGUUACUGCGAAGGGGGGACGGAGAAGGCUAUGUUAGCCGGGCGACGGUUGUCCCGGUUUAAGCAUGUAGGCUGGUUGUCCAGGCAAAUCCGGAUAAUCAAGGCUGAGGUGUGAUGACGAGGCACUACGGUGCUGAAGUAACAAAUGCCCUGCUUCCAGGAAAAGCCUCUAAGCAUCAGGUAACAUUAAAUCGUACCCCAAACCGACACAGGUGGUCAGGUAGAGAAUACCAAGGCGCUUGAGAGAACUCGGGUGAAGGAACUAGGCAAAAUGGUGCCGUAACUUCGGGAGAAGGCACGCUGGUGUGUAGGUGAAGUCCCUGCGGAUGGAGCUGAGACCAGUCGAAGAUACCAGCUGGCUGCAACUGUUUAUUAAAAACACAGCACUGUGCAAACACGAAAGUGGACGUAUACGGUGUGACGCCUGCCCGGUGCCGGAAGGUUAAUUGAUGGGGUUAUCCGUAAGGAGAAGCUCUUGAUCGAAGCCCCGGUAAACGGCGGCCGUAACUAUAACGGUCCUAAGGUAGCGAAAUUCCUUGUCGGGUAAGUUCCGACCUGCACGAAUGGCGUAAUGAUGGCCAGGCUGUCUCCACCCGAGACUCAGUGAAAUUGAACUCGCUGUGAAGAUGCAGUGUACCCGCGGCAAGACGGAAAGACCCCGUGAACCUUUACUAUAGCUUGACACUGAACAUUGAGCCUUGAUGUGUAGGAUAGGUGGGAGGCUUUGAAGCGUGGACGCCAGUCUGCGUGGAGCCAACCUUGAAAUACCACCCUUUAAUGUUUGAUGUUCUAACGUUGGCCCCUUACCGGGGUUGCGGACAGUGUCUGGUGGGUAGUUUGACUGGGGCGGUCUCCUCCNAAAGCGUAACGGAGGAGCACGAAGGUUAGCUAAUCCUGGUCGGACAUCAGGAGGUUAGUGCAAUGGCAUAAGCUAGCUUGACUGCGAGCGUGACGGCGCGAGCAGGUGCGAAAGCAGGUCAUAGUGAUCCGGUGGUUCUGAAUGGAAGGGCCAUCGCUCAACGGAUAAAAGGUACUCCGGGGAUAACAGGCUGAUACCGCCCAAGAGUUCAUAUCGACGGCGGUGUUUGGCACCUCGAUGUCGGCUCAUCACAUCCUGGGGCUGAAGUAGGUCCCAAGGGUAUGGCUGUUCGCCAUUUAAAGUGGUACGCGAGCUGGGUUUAGAACGUCGUGAGACAGUUCGGUCCCUAUCUGCCGUGGGCGCUGGAGAAUUGAGGGGGGCUGCUCCUAGUACGAGAGGACCGGAGUGGACGCAUCACUGGUGUUCGGGUUGUCAUGCCAAUGGCACUGCCCGGUAGCUAAAUGCGGAAGAGAUAAGUGCUGAAAGCAUCUAAGCACGAAACUUGCCCCGAGAUGAGUUCUCCCUGAGACUUUAAGUCUCCUGAAGGAACGUU
This 2584-nucleotide ribosomal RNA is filed under the name Klebsiella pneumoniae. RNAcentral's name for it is "23S ribosomal RNA". It matches the Rfam family "Bacterial large subunit ribosomal RNA". The record is from RNAcentral. Lineage: Bacteria; Pseudomonadati; Pseudomonadota; Gammaproteobacteria; Enterobacterales; Enterobacteriaceae.